This 213-nucleotide ribosomal RNA is filed under the name uncultured bacterium. RNAcentral describes it as "partial 16S ribosomal RNA". It matches the Rfam family "Bacterial small subunit ribosomal RNA", at positions 1289 to 1500 of the family's 1533-position model. The record is from RNAcentral.
CAGUUCGGACUGUAGUCUGCAACCCGACUACACGAAGCUGGAAUCGCUAGUAAUCGCGAAUCAGAAUGUCGCGGUGAAUACGUUCCCGGGUCUUGUACACACCGCCCGUCACACCAUGGGAGUCGGGAAUGCCCGAAGUCAGUGACCCAACCUAUAGGGAGGGAGCUGCCGAAGGCAGGUCUGAUAACUGGGGUGAAGUCGUAACAAGGUACC